CAGCCGUAAACUAUGCUCGCUAGGUGUCAGGGACGGUGCGACCGUUUCUGGUGCCGCAGGGAAGCCGUGAAGCGAGCCACCUGGGAAGUACGGUCGCAAGGCUGAAACUUAAAGGAAUUGGCGGGGGAGCACUACAACGGGUGGAGCCUGCGGUUUAAUUGGACUCAACGCCGGAAAUCUUACCGGGACCGACAGCAACAUGAAGGCCAAGCUGAAGACUUUGCCGGAUUAGCUGAGAGGUGGUGCAUGGCGUAGUCGUGU
This 261-nucleotide ribosomal RNA is filed under the name uncultured archaeon. RNAcentral describes it as "partial 16S ribosomal RNA". It matches the Rfam family "Archaeal small subunit ribosomal RNA", at positions 748 to 1009 of the family's 1478-position model. The record is from RNAcentral.